Molecule: ribosomal RNA, 733 nt
Filed under: Ruegeria sp. AU375_Ted1_NSWSE
Lineage: Bacteria; Pseudomonadati; Pseudomonadota; Alphaproteobacteria; Rhodobacterales; Roseobacteraceae
Description: bacterial SSU rRNA
Rfam family: Bacterial small subunit ribosomal RNA
Source: RNAcentral
AGUCGAGCGCACCUUCGGGUGAGCGGCGGACGGGUUAGUAACGCGUGGGAAUAUACCCUUUGGUACGGAAUAGCCUCUGGAAACGGAGAGUAAUACCGUAUGAGCCCUUCGGGGGAAAGAUUUAUCGCCAAAGGAUUAGCCCGCGUUAGAUUAGGUAGUUGGUGGGGUAAUGGCCUACCAAGCCUACGAUCUAUAGCUGGUUUUAGAGGAUGAUCAGCAACACUGGGACUGAGACACGGCCCAGACUCCUACGGGAGGCAGCAGUGGGGAAUCUUGGACAAUGGGCGCAAGCCUGAUCCAGCCAUGCCGCGUGAGUGAUGAAGGCCUUAGGGUCGUAAAGCUCUUUCGCCUGUGAAGAUAAUGACGGUAGCAGGUAAAGAAACCCCGGCUAACUCCGUGCCAGCAGCCGCGGUAAUACGGAGGGGGUUAGCGUUGUUCGGAAUUACUGGGCGUAAAGCGCACGUAGGCGGACUGGAAAGUUGGGGGUGAAAUCCCAGGGCUCAACCCUGGAACUGCCUCCAAAACUAUCAGUCUAGAGUUCGAGAGAGGUGAGUGGAAUUCCGAGUGUAGAGGUGAAAUUCGUAGAUAUUCGGAGGAACACCAGUGGCGAAGGCGGCUCACUGGCUCGAUACUGACGCUGAGGUGCGAAAGUGUGGGGAGCAAACAGGAUUAGAUACCCUGGUAGUCCACACCGUAAACGAUGAAUGCCAGUCGUCGGGUAGCAUGCUAUUCG